RNAcentral lists this transfer RNA (1102 nucleotides) under Canis lupus familiaris (dog). Its description in RNAcentral is "lncRNA (ENSCAFG00845004187.1)". The stretch from base 12 to 84 matches the Rfam family "tRNA". The record is from RNAcentral. Lineage: Eukaryota; Metazoa; Chordata; Mammalia; Carnivora; Canidae.
AGGCGUCGGGCGGCCGCGUGGCCUAAUGGAUAAGGCGUCUGACUUCGGAUCAGAAGAUUGCAGGUUCGAGUCCUGCCGCGGUCGCAAGGGAGUCUGCCUACAAUUUUUGGUUCAGUCCUCCUUAGGAAGGUUAGCGUCGGGACCUAGGAAAUGUUAACGUCUGUUUCCACCCCACAAAAGACCUGGGACUACCCCGAUCCUCGGAAGUAACUGCUGCGGCUCUACACGCCCCAGCGAAGUUGUUCAACUGUGUUCCUGGCGCGGGGGCUCGUUUCUAAAUCGUACCCCCGACGCAGGGGGAGGAGCCAGGAGGGCGAGGGGCGUCUUUUACGGAAAUCCCACUUUACAAUCGGUUGGUACGUGGGAAUGACAAGGGUUCGCAACUGGAAGGGAGCCGCGUCCUGCCCCGCCCCGUGCUCCCUGUCUCCAUCCUGGGCAAUCCUGAUGGGACAACGUGCUCUCUUUCCUGGAACCCGAAUCAGCAUUGGUCGCAAGCCCCCGCCUGCGGAGCCUUCCAGUCUCUGCGGUCUCCUGCCGCUCUCCAUCCACCUCCUCUUGCUCCAGGGGCCGCAGCAGCUCUGCUUUCCGUGCUCCUUGGUCCGAGGUUGAUAGACUGUAAAGUACCUGGUGGAAUAAGGCCCAUGUGAAUAACAAGAGCCUGGAGGUUGGAGCCCGGAGACCCAGCUGCGCGGAUUUGAGAUCAAGAGAGAUUUGAGGUCGACCUGAGUUCACAGCGCUGAUUAUGGACCAAAUUCAGGCCUCGCUGAAAAUCAUUCCCCACCUUCCAGCCUAUGCGUGUGUCAGGACACCCUGAACUUAUUUGACAAACUGACUUCGGUAUUGUUCAAGGGUAGGGUGGGGAGAUACCCAGGCAAACACCCUCCUCGCGCCGGCCCCCCACGCUGUGGCCCCCAAAGAGGCCCUGGGAAGCCCCAGGCCAAGGCUUGGGAAGGCAAUGCUGAGGCUUGGUUUCUCCAUAUAUCUCCCCUUUCUUUAUUUUGAAGUAUGAAAUAUUUUUCAUAAACCGUUCUGGGUGUAUUUCAUAAACACACAAAUGUUUGAUUUUCUCCUGGGGGGAAAAAUACAAUCAACUGCAAAUCCA